CCUACGGGAGGCAGCAGUGGGGAAUAUUGGGCAAUGGGCGCAAGCCUGACCCAGCAACGCCGCGUGAAGGAAGAAGGCUUUCGGGUUGUAAACUUCUUUUCUCAGGGACGCAGCAAGUGACGGUACCUGAGGAAUAAGCUACGGCUAACUACGUGCCAGCAGCUGCGGUAAUCCGUAGGUGGCACGCGUUAUUCGGAUUUACUGGGAGGAAAGGGCGUGUAGGUGGGAAAGCAAGUCAGAUGUGAAAACCACGGGCUCAAACUGUGGCAUGCAUUUGAAACUGGUUUUCUUGAGUACUGGAGAGGCAGACGGAAUUCCUAGUGUAGCGGUGAAAUGCGUAGAUAUUAGGAAGAACACCAGUGGCGAAGGCGGUCUGCUGGACAGCAACUGACGCUGAGGCGCGAAAGCGUGGGGAGCAAACAGGAUUAGAUACCCGAGUAGUC
This 443-nucleotide ribosomal RNA is filed under the name uncultured bacterium. Its description in RNAcentral is "partial 16S ribosomal RNA". It matches the Rfam family "Bacterial small subunit ribosomal RNA", at positions 338 to 795 of the family's 1533-position model. The record is from RNAcentral.